ACAGGGAGGUAGUGACAAGAAAUAACAAUACAGGACCUUUUGGUUUUGUAAUUGGAAUGAGUUAAGUAUAAACCCCUUUACAAGUAUCAAUUGGAGGGCAAGUCUGGUGCCAGCAGCCGCGGUAAUUCCAGCUCCAAUAGCGUAUAUUAAAGUUGUUGCAGUUAAAAAGCUCGUAGUUGGAUUUCUGUUAAUAAUUUAUAUAAUAUAUUUUGAUGAAUAUUUAUAUAAUAUUAACAUAAUUCAUAUUACUAUUUUUUUUUAGUAUAUGAAAUUUUACUUUGAGAAAAUUAGAGUGCUUAAAGCAGGCAUAUGCCUUGAAUACUCCAGCAUGGAAUAAUAUUAAAGAUUUUUAUCUUUCUUAUUGGUUCUAAGAUAAGAAUAAUGAUUAAUAGGGACAGUUGGGGGCAUUUGUAUUUAACAGUCAGAGGUGAAAUUCUUAGAUUUGUUAAAGACAAACUAAUGCGAAAGCAUUUGCCAAGGAUGUUUUCAUUAAUCAAGAACGAAAGUUAGGGGAUCGAAGACGAUCAGAUACCGUCGUAGUCUUAACCAUAAACUAUGCCAACUAGAGAUUGGAGGUUGUUCCUUACUCCUU
Molecule: ribosomal RNA, 592 nt
Filed under: Cryptosporidium hominis
Lineage: Eukaryota; Apicomplexa; Conoidasida; Eucoccidiorida; Cryptosporidiidae
Description: SSU rRNA
Rfam family: Eukaryotic small subunit ribosomal RNA
Source: RNAcentral